This 200-nucleotide ribosomal RNA is filed under the name uncultured bacterium. RNAcentral describes it as "partial 16S ribosomal RNA". It matches the Rfam family "Bacterial small subunit ribosomal RNA", at positions 28 to 238 of the family's 1533-position model. The record is from RNAcentral.
GAUGAAUGCUGGCGGCGUGCCUAACACAUGCAAGUCGAGCGGUAACAGGUCUAGUUUACUAGAUGCUGACGAGCGGCGGACGGCUGAGUAACGCGUAGGAACGUGCCCCAAAGUGAGGAAUAACUGCCCGAAAGGGUGGCUAAUGCCGCAUAUGAUCUUCGGAUUAAAGUCUUCGGACGCUUUGGGAGCGGCCUGCGUUA